This 666-nucleotide ribosomal RNA is filed under the name Morganella morganii. RNAcentral's name for it is "partial 23S ribosomal RNA". It matches the Rfam family "Bacterial large subunit ribosomal RNA", at positions 2202 to 2862 of the family's 2925-position model. Lineage: Bacteria; Pseudomonadati; Pseudomonadota; Gammaproteobacteria; Enterobacterales; Morganellaceae. The record is from RNAcentral.
ACCCUUUAACGUUUGAUGUUCUAACCCAGACCCGUAAUCCGGGUCGGGGACCGUGUCUGGUGGGUAGUUUGACUGGGGCGGUCUCCUCCCAAAGAGUAACGGAGGAGCACGAAGGUUGGCUAAGCAUGGUCGGACAUCAUGCGGUUAGUGCAAAGGCAUAAGCCAGCUUGACUGCGAGAGUGACGGCUCGAGCAGGUACGAAAGUAGGUCUUAGUGAUCCGGUGGUUCUGAAUGGAAGGGCCAUCGCUCAACGGAUAAAAGGUACUCCGGGGAUAACAGGCUGAUACCGCCCAAGAGUUCAUAUCGACGGCGGUGUUUGGCACCUCGAUGUCGGCUCAUCACAUCCUGGGGCUGAAGUAGGUCCCAAGGGUAUGGCUGUUCGCCAUUUAAAGUGGUACGCGAGCUGGGUUUAGAACGUCGUGAGACAGUUCGGUCCCUAUCUGCCGUGGGCGCUGGAAGAUUGAGAGGGGUUGCUCCUAGUACGAGAGGACCGGAGUGAACGCACCACUGGUGUACGGGUUGUGAUGCCAAUUGCAUUGCCCGGUAGCUAAGUGCGGAAGAGAUAACCGCUGAAAGCAUCUAAGCGGGAAACUUGCCUCGAGAUGAGUCUUCCCUGACCCUUUAAGGGUCCUGAAGGAACGUUUGAGACUAAGACGUUGAUAGGCU